CAAGGGGAGGCUUCGUUCCCUGGGGAUUGCUUCUGUGCAGAAACGGGAUAAAUGAACUUUAAAUAACCUUUGAAGUGAUCCCCCUGGAAGGAACAGAGUGUUCCCUGUGAAAAGGCGCUGAAGUCAGUUCAUGUGCUGCACACUUUUGGCUUCCCACUUCCCACAGGAGCACAUCAGAAGACAAGGAUAGCUGGGAGUGCAGCGAGUCCAGCAAUUAUUAGAACCACCUGAAAGCUU
RNAcentral lists this long non-coding RNA (237 nucleotides) under Junco hyemalis (dark-eyed junco). RNAcentral's name for it is "lncRNA (ENSJHYG00000008911.1)". The record is from RNAcentral. Lineage: Eukaryota; Metazoa; Chordata; Aves; Passeriformes; Passerellidae.